Gallus gallus (chicken) is the source of this 303-nucleotide long non-coding RNA. Lineage: Eukaryota; Metazoa; Chordata; Aves; Galliformes; Phasianidae. The record is from Ensembl.
CUCGGUGCGGGCGGCGCGCCUCGGAGGGGAGCGGAGCGGGGCGGCAGGAAUCGGCGAGCGCUGCGUUAAUGGUGUCCCUGCGUGUGUGUGUGAGGUCGGCAGCCGAGCUGGGGCUGGAGGUGUUGCUGUGGGUCAGAAGGUUGGAGCGCUGUCCCGCGUUCUGCGAGGAAUGGGGCUGCUCGUUGCAAACAGCGCGGAGUCGUGCAAGUGGUAAUGGGGCGUUUUGGAGGCCGGCGUGUGUGGCAGCGCUGCGAUCCGCAGGGCAGGGGCUGGGCUUGGGCUGCGGUCGGGCCAGAGAGCUCC